GCUGGGCUUCUGGAUAAGCUGGAGUUCUGAAGAAGUAGACUUCAACGGAUGUGCUGGCUAGGCUCAGCUCCAUAGUCAUGGAUAAUUGUCCUCAUCUGAUGGUGGGAAGCAGAGGUCUGUGCUUGCAAGCUUGUGCUGUACCAGAAGUCUAAGAAGUCUGUGAAAGUCUCCCAGGAAGGACUAUUUAAUGAAAUGCGAUGUUGUGAUAAAUUCAGAAUGUUUGUUUAUUGCUUCUACAAAGAGACAUUUCUAUCUUGAGAAGAAUAAGAAAGGAAGAUAACUGAUUCAAACAGCAAAUCUUUUAUCAAAACUGGAACUGGAACCCAGCAAGGAUAACUCAGAAACACCUGCCAUGCAUAUAUAUAUAUAUCACAGCCCUGAAACACAAAACAAAUGUCAGAAAUUGCUCAGCCCAAAUGUUAAAUUGUCAAAAGAAGAGCUUUUCCUCAAUGUGUUUUAACUGCAGGGAAAGGAAAUGCAUCACUGAUCACUGGCUGCUGGCAUCAUCUCCAACUGUUAAUUACCAGUUGUUGCAGAAAUUUCAACAGCUUAGGGCUGUGAACAUCACUACAGCUUUGUAGCAGGUCCUGAAGGAUAUGGGCAACAGACAAGUUAGAGUAAUUGCAGUCUCAGAUAUCCUGAACUAGCAGGUAUAUCUGACCUAUGGCCCUUGGUCAGCAGGAGGACCAGCUGUGAAUGAAACUUCACACAAAAGUAUAAACUCACCUACAACAUUAUGAGGCACUUUUUGUGAUCUUUCUGGUAACUGGGUUGUGUAUUUCUCAGGCGUGUGCUUUGUAGAUAACAACAUUGUGUCACAUUUAAAAGGUUGGGCAUGCCUGAAAAUGUUACGAGUGACAGCUAAUAAAUCCUGUGGAAUUCUUUCUUUCACCUCUUGACG
This is a long non-coding RNA of Mastomys coucha (southern multimammate mouse), 901 nucleotides long. RefSeq lists it as uncharacterized. The record is from RefSeq and is a predicted model, not a curated record. NCBI's taxonomy places the organism in Eukaryota, Metazoa, Chordata, Mammalia, Rodentia, Muridae. The transcript has 4 exons.